GUGGGGAAUAUUGGACAAUGGGCGAAAGCCUGAUCCAGCCAUGCCGCGUGUGUGAAGAAGGUCUUCGGAUUGUAAAGCACUUUAAGUUGGGAGGAAGGGCAGUAAGUUAAUACCUUGCUGUUUUGACGUUACCGACAGAAUAAGCACCGGCUAACUUCGUGCCAGCAGCCGCGGUAAUACGAAGGGUGCAAGCGUUAAUCGGAAUUACUGGGCGUAAAGCGCGCGUAGGUGGUUCAGCAAGUUGGAGGUGAAAUCCCCGGGCGCAACCUGGGAACUGCCGCCAAAACUACUGGGCUAGAGUACGGUAGAGGGUAGUGGAAUUUCCUGUGUAGCGGUGAAAUGCGUAGAUAUAGGAAGGAACACCAGUGGCGAAGGCGACUACCUGGACUGAUACUGACACUGAGGUGCGAAAGCGUGGGGAGCAAACAGGAUUAGAAACCCUUGUAGUCC
RNAcentral lists this ribosomal RNA (450 nucleotides) under uncultured bacterium. RNAcentral's name for it is "partial 16S ribosomal RNA". It matches the Rfam family "Bacterial small subunit ribosomal RNA", at positions 354 to 796 of the family's 1533-position model. The record is from RNAcentral.